Molecule: ribosomal RNA, 253 nt
Filed under: uncultured bacterium
Lineage: Bacteria
Description: partial 16S ribosomal RNA
Rfam family: Bacterial small subunit ribosomal RNA
Source: RNAcentral
UACAGAGGUGGCAAGCGUUGUUCGGAAUUACUGGGCGUAAAGGGCGCGUAGGCGGCCUGUCAAGUCCCGUGUGAAAGCCCCCGGCUCAACCGGGGAACGGCGCGGGAAACUAGCAGGCUUGAGUUCGGGAGAGGGAAGCGGAAUUCCGGGUGUAGCGGUGAAAUGCGCAGAUAUCCGGAGGAACACCGGUGGCGAAGGCGGCUUCCUGGACCGACACUGACGCUGAGGCGCGAAAGCUAGGGGAGCAAACGGG